GCUUACCAUACCACAACAUCUCGUCCGAUCUCGGAAGCUAAGCAGGGUCGGGCCUGGUUAGUACUUGGAUGGGAGACCGCCUGGGAAUACCAGGUGCUGUAAGCU
This 105-nucleotide ribosomal RNA is filed under the name Labrus bergylta (ballan wrasse). The record is from RNAcentral. Lineage: Eukaryota; Metazoa; Chordata; Actinopteri; Labriformes; Labridae.